This 627-nucleotide long non-coding RNA is filed under the name Macaca nemestrina (pig-tailed macaque). RNAcentral's name for it is "lncRNA (ENSMNEG00000045771.1)". The record is from RNAcentral. Lineage: Eukaryota; Metazoa; Chordata; Mammalia; Primates; Cercopithecidae.
CAGAGACAGCAUCUUAUAUGGGGUUCCUGCCAGCUGUCCUCCCAUUGCAAGAUGGUGAGAUGGAGGCUCAGAGAAGGCAAGGUAUUUACCUAAGGUCACACAGCUAGUCAAUAACAGAGCAAGUCUUCAAAGGACAACUAUAACUCCUCCACACAGUGGGGUUGCAAUCCUUGAUCCCACCUCCCAGGAGAUCUUUUCUACUGUAACCCUACCCACCAAGGUCAAUCCUUGAGACUGGCUCUCCUCUGGCCUGCAGGAAGAACUUAACCAUUGGAGGUGUGGGAUGGGGAGCUUGAAAAAUACUGAAUUCAAUUCUUCCCAUUGUACAGAUGGAGACACUGAAGCCAGGAAGGGAGAAAGGAUCAGUCCACACUGCCCGUUUCUUCCAUGUCAUUGAGUAGGAUGCAAAGAUCAGUUCUACUAGCCUCUCUGGAGAUUAUGGCCAGCAGUCCUGAGAGCAUCCAUCUGUGGAGCCAGAGCCAGAGCCAGAGGCAGCCCAACAAGGAGCUCAUCCAUCAGCUGAGCCCAGGCCGGGGCUGGGAAAGAUGACCGCGGGUGUCAGGCCACCCAGGACGCGGGAUGGGGAGGCAAGCUUCUGGAUACGCCAAGGAGGUUUGUUCUGGCUGA